UAAGAUAUUUUUGAUCUCUCUGCAGUGUAUUUUUACAUUAUAUUUAAAGAGACAUCGUUUUGUCCACAACAGUUGAUUUACUUCAUUGAAUAAUUCUCAAUAGAAGACACGCCCUUAACAUAUGUCGUCAUCACUGGAGCCGCUUCGGUCUCGCGGCGGAGUAUCGCGGAUUUCUGUCAUACGGCGGCCCAUUACAUUUUAACAAAAUAUUCAACUGUACGAAUGAUCAUCCACAUUGCAUCCGUUAUUCAGCUAACAUCGGCGAACCUUCGAGGGGGCGGGGUGAGUGAGGGCUGCUGUGAGGAUCCCACACUGUGGGGCAGUCACACACUCAAUGGUGUCUCCCACAAUGAAGGCGUUGGUGGAUGCAGUUUGGGCGGUGUGGAGCAUUGGGGCCUCAAUCUAUGACUACAUCCACACCAGUGCCAUGGAAGAGCGCAUUCACUCACUGGAGAGUGUUAUAACCAUUCACCAGUGUGUCAUUGGCCUGCUGUCAGCUGCACUUGUGGCUCUUUUCACCUACAUUCUGCUAAGAAAGCACUGACUCAGGACUAGUCAAUCCAGAGAGACUAUAGCAGUGACAACAGAGGGAAUUCUAUGUUGGUGUCAAGCUGUGUUCUGUUCAUCUUAAAGGGAUUUUAACAUGUCUGACUUUUACCUAAUCAAUAACUUACAAAACUUUAGUUACUCUUUCUAUAUGUUAAAAUUUUGCUGCUUCAUUAUCAGUUGAUGCGAUUCCGAGUAAUCUGGUAAACCAAAACAAGCGUGCUACUUCAUUAAAAAAAAAUAGGCUUCCACCGUGGAUUUCCAUUAUGGAUUUUAUAGGUUGUUCACAGAAAGAAGGAUUCAGAGAUGCUACCUGACCAUGGUUUCUUUGCACAAGCUUGGUGAAAGCUGAACAAACACAAAACAACCACUGGAUUAGCAGGCUUCUCAACCUGUUUGCUGCUAUCUUCAAUGGAGUCAGCUUUUGUGUAACUUACUUUUAAACGACACAUUCAGCUAGCCAAUGUCAAAGUAUAACUUUGUUAACCUAUAACAUCUCAUACAACUUAUUUCUCAGAUCCAUGGGAAUUUAUUAAUAAAAAUCAGUGACAUCAAUUAAACUCUUGAUUUCACAA
Molecule: long non-coding RNA, 1121 nt
Organism: Ctenopharyngodon idella (grass carp)
Lineage: Eukaryota; Metazoa; Chordata; Actinopteri; Cypriniformes; Xenocyprididae
Exons: 2
Source: RefSeq, a predicted model, not a curated record